AAAUUACUCAAACCCCAAAUCACUUCACUCUCACAACGUUCACUCACCUCUUCGUUUCACCUAUUCCUCCUUUCUCCUUUCUCCUUCAUUUCACCUCUUCGUUUCACCUCUUUCUCCUUUCUCCUUCCUUCUCGAUCUGUGUUUGUACCUCCAUUUGCACCUCCAUUUGCACCUCAGUCCACGAUUGCCUCCGUUCACAUACACAUUAGCACCUGCAUUUGCUCGAUUGGGUUCUUCAAGAAGGAGAAAGGUUCGAUUGGGUCAUGUAACCACUCCUUUUCGGUUUCUGUGGACAACGCCAGUUCGACAUCGAAGGGCGAGGAACUCGCACCCAUUGUCUCCCCUACAUUGAAGCUCGAAAUCGAUAGGCAGGUUUACAGGUCCAGUGUUAAAUGAGAAAAUUCUACAAUAUAGCUAUUUGUGACACCAUUAAUUGUGUAAUUAAUUUUGUAGGCUUCUCUUACAGAGGCUCUUGUUCCCUUUAUAUUUGCCAAAGAAUAUAAUCUCCAUGCAGACAUACUCAGCACAACAUGAGUGUAUGAAUUUUUUUAUUAUUAAAAAUAUAUUAUUCAUCCAUGGGUUACUGAAUAAUUUUUCUUGUGUGAACACUUAAUUUGCAACUUGUGUUUUACACACUUUAAUUCAAAUUAUCUACUUAUCCUCUUAUAUUUUGUGUGUCUAUUUGUUGCUCAAGAGGAAGAAAGAAAAUUGAAGCCUGUGAUUGCAUUUGAUUGUGCUGAAAUUAGAGAACGUGACUGGUGCAAUGUGAUUACUUGUCAUAUGGAUACUGCCAAGGCAUAUGUUUGGAGACUUCAAAACUUUGUUCUUGGUGAGCACAUAUUGAAUCCAUGUCUUGAAAAUCCAACACCUGUAAAGGCACCAGAUAUUGGGAGUGGUGUGUCAUCUCCGCAUGAAAUACUAGGAUCAAGUGAUGGAAGCAAAACACCUUAGACUUAGGACUUUUAAUGUUGUCUUUUUUUCUUAGAUGCUUGAAUAUUUUGGUACUCUUAAUGUUGUCUUUUUUUUUCAAAUGCUUGAAUUGGUACUUU
This is a long non-coding RNA of Vigna unguiculata (cowpea), 1049 nucleotides long. The record is from RefSeq and is a predicted model, not a curated record. Lineage: Eukaryota; Viridiplantae; Streptophyta; Magnoliopsida; Fabales; Fabaceae.